This 111-nucleotide ribosomal RNA is filed under the name uncultured eukaryote. RNAcentral's name for it is "partial small subunit ribosomal RNA". The record is from RNAcentral.
ACCCGAAGAUGGUGCGCUAACCUGCUYGCAGGAGGCAGCCAGCCACGGUGGGAUCAGCGACUGGGGUGAAGUCGUAACRAGGUAGCCGUAGGUGAACCUGCAGAAGGAUCA